UCAACGCUUACUCAGUAGAACCAAGGGAAAACUGAUUUUUCUGUAACAAAAACUAGAUACAGAAAGAAAGUCACGCAUUCAUGUCUCUGGUCCCAGCAAUUCCGUUCUGAAAAUACUUAGCAAAACAUUUUCUGUGGGUUUUUUUUGGUGGUUAUUUUUCCUUUCUUAGGCUGCCUUUGGGAGGAUCCAAAUCAAAUAACUAGUGGGAGGCAUAGUAAAGAGUUUUAAUUUUAGAAAUUUUAGAUAAUACUUUUUUUUUUUUUUUUAUUGGUAAGCAGCAGGAACGACUGGGUUUUGAAAUUUCAGCAGCUGUCGCCGUGGACGACAAGCUUGCUCUGAAGGCAUGUGUAUAGAGCAAAAUGUCCACAAUAGUCAAAUCCAUAGAGACAGAAAGGAGAUUGGCUGUUGUCGAGGGCCGGGGCAGUGAUUGCCGAUGGGUAUGAAGUUUCUUUCUGGGAUGAUGGAAAUGUUCUGGAAUCAGACAGUGCUGAUGGUUGCGUGACCUGGUGGAUAUACUAAAAAUUGUGUACUUUAAAGGAUGACUUGAUGGUCUGUGAAUUAUACCUUAAUAAUAAUAAUAAUAAAAAUCCAGAGAAGGAUCAGCGCAGCAAUGUAUUUUUCAAAAUUCCACAACGGAGAGUCAUUUACUUUGUUGAGAGUUUGGGGUCAAUGCACGAUUUGCUAGCUACGAUGGAAGAAUGGCUGUGGAAACUUGAGUUAACAUAUUUGUGGUUGCCUUCAUGUUGUUUCAGGGCUCCUGCUCUGGCUGGCUGGCUCAAACCACAGUUUACCUUGGGCUGAGUUUAUCUGUAGUAUCAUGUUUCAAGGGACAGGCGGUCAUCACUGGACUUUCCGAUGGGAUUCAUUCUUCUGGUGAGGAGCCCUGGCUAGAAGAAGACGUGGUCCGCGGGGCUCCUGUGUUUCCUGCACCUGUCCAAGUUCGCAUCUGCCCUGGAAAGUUCACCUGGCAGCCUCUAGCUCUGCAGGGAGGGGGUGGGGGUGGGCACGCCCAUCCUGCCCCGGCAUUUUGAACCAGCAUUAUUAUUCAGUCUGUGCCAGGAGGUGGCGGCCUUUAGCAUUUCAAUAGAGUGGAUGGUUUUAUCUCUAUUUUUAGCUUUUUAUUAUGUUAAAAAAAAAAAAAAAACAACUCUUCC
RNAcentral lists this long non-coding RNA (1154 nucleotides) under Mustela putorius furo (domestic ferret). Its description in RNAcentral is "lncRNA (ENSMPUG00000027707.1)". The record is from RNAcentral. Lineage: Eukaryota; Metazoa; Chordata; Mammalia; Carnivora; Mustelidae.